UACAGAGGUCCCAAGCGUUGUUCGGAUUCAUUGGGCGUAAAGGGUGCGUAGGUGGCCUGGUAAGUCGGGUGUGAAAUCCCGGGGCUCAACCCCGGAACUGCACUCGAUACUGCCGUGCUCGAGUACUGGAGAGGAGACUGGAAUUUACGGUGUAGCAGUGAAAUGCGUAGAUAUCGUAAGGAAGACCGGUGGCGAAGGCUAGUCUCUGGACAGUUACUGACACUGAGGCACGAAGGCCAGGGGAGCAAACGGG
RNAcentral lists this ribosomal RNA (253 nucleotides) under uncultured bacterium. RNAcentral describes it as "partial 16S ribosomal RNA". It matches the Rfam family "Bacterial small subunit ribosomal RNA", at positions 524 to 776 of the family's 1533-position model. The record is from RNAcentral.